UAGCAUCCUCGACUUGAGACUUCUUUACUUCUUGUACUAAUCUCCACAGGAUUCAUGCAUUAUUCCCCUUUGAAGAAUUGUCUGCAGCUGCAUUCUGAUGUCCUUCAUAGACGCCUACAAGUCAAAUGGCAUUUCAAGAGAGAAACCCUCAGAGCUUCUCUGUCACCUCCUUAUAUACAACAGUAGCAGAGAUUAGGAGUCCAUUCCACCUCAGUCUGGAGAGCUCGUAAAUGAAAUCUUAUCAAAGUCCCUUAAAGAGCCUUUUGGUUUUUUUCUAUAUUGAUGAUGAAAUUCUUUCUGUUUGAAAAAUCAUUUUCUGUAAAGUAUAUCAUGUAAAAUGUAAGCACAA
This is a non-coding RNA of Rattus norvegicus (Norway rat), 349 nucleotides long. NCBI's taxonomy places the organism in Eukaryota, Metazoa, Chordata, Mammalia, Rodentia, Muridae. The record is from RefSeq and is a predicted model, not a curated record.